GCCAGGUGCAGUGGCACACACCUAUAAUCCCUGUGUCUUGGGAGGCAGAGGCAGGAGGACAGCAAGUUCAAAGCCAGUCUCAGCAAUUUAGCGAGGCACUGAGCAACUCAGUGAGAUACUGUCUCUAAAUAAAGUUGUUUAGUGCCUCACUAAGUUGCUGAGGCUGGCUUUAAACUCUCCUUCCUCCCCUCUC
Molecule: small RNA, 193 nt
Filed under: Marmota monax (woodchuck)
Lineage: Eukaryota; Metazoa; Chordata; Mammalia; Rodentia; Sciuridae
Source: RNAcentral